UACGAAGGGGGCUAGCGUUGUUCGGAAUCACUGGGCGUAAAGGGCGCGUAGGCGGCUUUAUAAGUCGGGGGUGAAAGCCUGUGGCUCAACCACAGAAUUGCCUUCGAUACUGUAGAGCUUGAGACCGGAAGAGGUAAGUGGAACUGCGAGUGUAGAGGUGAAAUUCGUAGAUAUUCGCAAGAACACCAGUGGCGAAGGCGGCUUACUGGUCCGGUUCUGACGCUGAGGCGCGACAGCGUGGGGAGCAAACAGG
RNAcentral lists this ribosomal RNA (253 nucleotides) under uncultured bacterium. RNAcentral describes it as "partial 16S ribosomal RNA". It matches the Rfam family "Bacterial small subunit ribosomal RNA", at positions 524 to 776 of the family's 1533-position model. The record is from RNAcentral.